CUUGACGACCAUAGAGCAUUGGAACCACCUGAUCCCAUCCCGAACUCAGAAGUGAAACGAUGCAUCGCCGAUGGUA
This 76-nucleotide ribosomal RNA is filed under the name Bacillus cereus. Lineage: Bacteria; Bacillati; Bacillota; Bacilli; Caryophanales; Bacillaceae. The record is from RNAcentral.